Molecule: long non-coding RNA, 550 nt
Filed under: Pogona vitticeps (central bearded dragon)
Lineage: Eukaryota; Metazoa; Chordata; Lepidosauria; Squamata; Agamidae
Description: lncRNA (ENSPVIG00000013771.1)
Source: RNAcentral
CCUUCUCUUUUUCAUAGCUUGAGGUUCAGUCUUCACACCAGUUUUCCAGGAGUCAGAAGUCAUAAUUUUGACAGCUAUGUAUACACCUCUUUCCUACAGCUCUUCAGGACCUUUGUGACGUUACUGCCCUGAGAAGGACUGAGAAAGUGGCAGAAUGUAGACCCAUCUUCAUCCUGCAGGUAGAAUCAGGAAAGACUGUGGACUCAAACAGUGGAGAACCGUUGCCAAUCAAGGUAGAGUAGCUUUCUCUGCCUGGUGUCCUCAAGAGAGGCCAAGAGGAUACAUGUGGGUGUACCUUCACAAGAGAAGAUGUCACAAACGAUGGCAUAAGAAAAACCAUAGUGGAGAAGAUAUACAAGAAUUAGCCUGGAUCAGAACUGCCACAUUUUGGCCUCCAGAACCAGAGGCAGAAAAGACAGAUCUGGAAGGUGCUUGUCCAGCUGGGACAGAUAAUCAGUAGAGAUGGCACUAAAGAAUACAGGAAGAGUGCUGGACUUGGUAUUGCCUUCUUAGGUGAGUGCUAUCAACUACACUUGUGAAGGUCCAAAGA